Molecule: ribosomal RNA, 253 nt
Filed under: uncultured bacterium
Lineage: Bacteria
Description: partial 16S ribosomal RNA
Rfam family: Bacterial small subunit ribosomal RNA
Source: RNAcentral
UACAGAGGGGGCAAGCGUUGUUCGGAAUUACUGGGCGUAAAGGGCGCGUAGGCGGCCUUCUAAGUCAUGCGUGAAAUCCCCGGGCUCAACCCGGGAACUGCGUCUGAUACUGGAAGGCUUGAAUCCGGGAGAGGGAUGCGGAAUUCCAGGUGUAGCGGUGAAAUGCGUAGAUAUCUGGAGGAACACCGGUGGCGAAGGCGGCAUCCUGGACCGGCAUUGACGCUGAGGCGCGAAAGCUAGGGGAGCAAACGGG